GAUGAACGCUGGCGGCGUGCCUAAUACAUGCAAGUCGAGCGAACAGACGAGUAUCUUGCUCCUCUGACGUUAGCGGCGGACGGGUGAGUAACACGUGGAUAACCUACCUAUAAGACUUGGAUAACUUCGGGAAACCGGAGCUCAUACCGGAUAAUAUAUUUAACCGCAUGGUUCAAUAGUGAAAGACGGUUUUGCUGUCACUUAUAGAUGGAUCCGCGCCGCAUUAGCUAGUUGGUAAGGUAACGGCUUACCAAGGCAACGAUGCGUAGCCGACCUGAGAGGGUGAACGGGCACACUGGAACUGAGACACGGUCCAGACUCCGACGGGAGGCAGCAGUAGGGAAUCUUCCGAAAAGGGCGAAAGAUUGAAGGAGCAACGCCGCGUGAGUGAUGAAGGUCUUCGGAUCGUAAAACUCUGUUAUUAGGGAAGAACAAAUGUGUAAGUAACUAUGCACGUCUUGACGGUACCUAAUCAGAAAGCCACGGCUAACUACGUG
RNAcentral lists this ribosomal RNA (497 nucleotides) under uncultured bacterium. RNAcentral's name for it is "partial 16S ribosomal RNA". It matches the Rfam family "Bacterial small subunit ribosomal RNA", at positions 28 to 507 of the family's 1533-position model. The record is from RNAcentral.